This 492-nucleotide ribosomal RNA is filed under the name uncultured bacterium. RNAcentral's name for it is "partial 16S ribosomal RNA". It matches the Rfam family "Bacterial small subunit ribosomal RNA", at positions 29 to 507 of the family's 1533-position model. The record is from RNAcentral.
AGUGAACGCUGGCGGUAGGCCUAACACAUGCAAGUCGAACGGCAGCACAGUAAGAGCUUGCUCUUACGGGUGGCGAGUGGCGGACGGGUGAGGAAUACAUCGGACUCUACUUUUUCGUGGGGGAUAACGUAGGGAAACUUACGCUAAUACCGCAUACGACCUACGGGUGAAAGCAGGGGAUCUUCGCACCUUGCGCGAUUGCAUGAGCCGAUGCCGGAUUAGCUAGUUGGCGGGGUAAAGGCCCACCAAGGCGACGCUCCGUAGCUGGUCUGAGAGGAUGAUCAGCCACACGGGAACUGAGAAACGGUCCAGACUCCUACGGGAGGCAGCAGUGGGGAAUAUUGGACAAUGGGCGCAAGCCUGCUCCAGCCAUACCGCGUGGGUGAAGAAGGCCUUCGGGUUGUAAAGCCCUUUUGUUGGGAAAGAAAAGCAGCAGGUUAAUACCCCGCUGUUCUGACGGUACCCAAAGAAUAAGCACCGGCUAACUUCGUG